Molecule: ribosomal RNA, 496 nt
Filed under: uncultured bacterium
Lineage: Bacteria
Description: partial 16S ribosomal RNA
Rfam family: Bacterial small subunit ribosomal RNA
Source: RNAcentral
GAUGAACGCUGGCGGCGUGCCUAAUACAUGCCAGUCGAGCGAACAGACGAGGAGCUUGCUCCUCUGACGUUAGCGGCGGACGGGUGAGUAACACGUGGAUAACCUACCUAUAAGACUGGGAUAACUUCGGGAAACCGGAGCUAAUACCGGAUAAUAUAUUGAACCGCAUGGUUCAAUAGUGAAAGACGGUUUUGCUGUCACUUAUAGAUGGAUCCGCGCCGCAUUAGCUAGUUGGUAAGGUAACGGCUUACCAAGGCGACGAUGCGUAGCCGACCUGAGAGGGUGAGCGGCCACACGGGAACUGGGACACCGUCCAGACCCCCACGGGAGGCAGGAGGGGGGAAUCUUCCGAAAGGGGCGAAAGCCUGACGGAACAACCGCGCGGGAGGGAUGAAGGUCUUCGGAUCGUAAAACUCUUUUAUUGGGGAAAAAAAAAUGUGUAAGUAACUAUGCACGUCUGGACGGUACCUAAUCAGAAAGCCACGGCUAACUACGU